UGAAGCGGCAAAAGCUCAAAUUUGAAAUCCCCCGGGAAUUGUAAUUUGAAGAGAUUUGGGUCCGGCCGGCGGGGGUUAAGUCCACUGGAAAGUGGCGCCACAGAGGGUGACAGCCCCGUGAACCCCUUCAACGCCUUCAUCCCAGAUCUCCAAGAGUCGAGUUGUUUGGGAAUGCAGCUCUAAGUGGGUGGUAAAUUCCAUCUAAAGCUAAAUACCGGCGAGAGACCGAUAGCGAACAAGUACAGUGAUGGAAAGAUGAAAAGCACUUUGAAAAGAGAGUGAAAAAGUACGUGAAAUUGUUGAAAGGGAAGGGCUUGCAAGCAGACACUUAACUGGGCCAGCAUCGGGGCGGCGGGAAACAAAACCACCGGGGAAUGUACCUUUCGAGGAUUAUAACCCCGGUCUUUAUUUCCAUACCGCCCCGAGGCCUGCAAUCUAAGGAUGCUGGCGUAAUGGUUGCAAGUCGCCCGUUU
This 473-nucleotide ribosomal RNA is filed under the name Metschnikowia sp. (in: budding yeasts & allies). RNAcentral's name for it is "eukaryotic LSU rRNA". It matches the Rfam family "Eukaryotic large subunit ribosomal RNA", at positions 94 to 654 of the family's 3401-position model. Lineage: Eukaryota; Fungi; Ascomycota; Pichiomycetes; Serinales; Metschnikowiaceae. The record is from RNAcentral.